RNAcentral lists this ribosomal RNA (998 nucleotides) under Phaeosphaeriaceae sp. RNAcentral describes it as "SSU rRNA". It matches the Rfam family "Eukaryotic small subunit ribosomal RNA", at positions 95 to 1103 of the family's 1831-position model. Lineage: Eukaryota; Fungi; Ascomycota; Dothideomycetes; Pleosporales; Phaeosphaeriaceae. The record is from RNAcentral.
GGCUCAUUAAAUCAGUUAUCGUUUAUUUGAUAGUACCUUACUACUUGGAUAACCGUGGUAAUUCUAGAGCUAAUACAUGCUGAAAACCCCAACUUCGGAAGGGGUGUAUAUAUUAGAUAAAAAACCAACGCCCUUCGGGGCUUCUUGGUGAUUCAUGAUAUCUUUACGGAUCGCAUGGCCUUGCGCCGGCGACGGUUCAUUCAAAUUUCUGCCCUAUCAACUUUCGAUGGUAAGGUAUUGGCUUACCAUGGUUUCAACGGGUAACGGGGAAUUAGGGUUCGAUUCCGGAGAGGGAGCCUGAGAAACGGCUACCACAUCCAAGGAAGGCAGCAGGCGCGCAAAUUACCCAAUCCCGACACGGGGAGGUAGUGACAAUAAAUACUGAUACAGGGCUCUUUUGGGUCUUGUAAUUGGAAUGAGUACAAUUUAAACCUCUUAACGAGGAACAAUUGGAGGGCAAGUCUGGUGCCAGCAGCCGCGGUAAUUCCAGCUCCAAUAGCGUAUAUUAAAGUUGUUGCAGUUAAAAAGCUCGUAGUUGAACCUUGGGUCUGGCUGGCAGGUCCGCCUCACCGCGUGUACUUGUCCGGCCGGGCCUUCCUUCUGGAGAACCUCAUGCCCUUCACUGGGCGUGUUGGGGACCAGGACUUUUACUUUGAAAAAAUUAGAGUGUUCAAAGCAGGCCUUUGCUCGAAUACGUUAGCAUGGAAUAAUAGAAUAGGACGUGCGGUCCUAUUUUGUUGGUUUCUAGGACCGCCGUAAUGAUUAAUAGGGACAGUCGGGGGCAUCAGUAUUCAAUUGUCAGAGGUGAAAUUCUUGGAUUUAUUGAAGACUAACUACUGCGAAAGCAUUUGCCAAGGAUGUUUUCAUUAAUCAGUGAACGAAAGUUAGGGGAUCGAAGACGAUCAGAUACCGUCGUAGUCUUAACCGUAAACUAUGCCGACUAGGGAUCGGGCGAUGUUCUUUUUCUGACUCGCUCGGCACCUUACGAGAAAUCAAAG